RNAcentral lists this ribosomal RNA (253 nucleotides) under uncultured bacterium. Its description in RNAcentral is "partial 16S ribosomal RNA". It matches the Rfam family "Bacterial small subunit ribosomal RNA", at positions 524 to 776 of the family's 1533-position model. The record is from RNAcentral.
UACGAAGGGGGCUAGCGUUGCUCGGAAUUACUGGGCGUAAAGCGCACGUAGGCGGCUUUCUAAGUCGGGGGUGAAAUCCUGGAGCUCAACUCCAGAACUGCCUUCGAUACUGGAGAGCUCGAGUCCGGGAGAGGUGAGUGGAACUGCGGGUGUAGAGGUGAAAUUCGUAGAUAUUCGCAAGAACACCAGUGGCGAAGGCGGCUCACUGGCCCGGUACUGACGCUGAGGUGCGAAAGCGUGGGGAGCAAACAGG